RNAcentral lists this ribosomal RNA (413 nucleotides) under Crucibulum radiata. Its description in RNAcentral is "partial 28S ribosomal RNA". The record is from RNAcentral. Lineage: Eukaryota; Metazoa; Mollusca; Gastropoda; Littorinimorpha; Calyptraeidae.
AAACCGCCUAGAGGUAAACGGGUGGAUCCGCAAAGUCGGCCCGCGGAAUUCAGCUCGGAAGGCCGCGGGUUUGCGGUGGGUCGGGGAUCUUUGUCGACCCUCCUGCCGCAAGCUCGCGUCGACCGUGUGCACUUUCCGCGGGCAGAGCGCCACGACCGGUUCUCGGGCGGUCAUAAGGCGGCGGGGAUGGUAGGCGCGCGCUUCGGCGUGCGCUGGUAUAGCCCCGCCUGUCCCGAUCCGCUCGGGGACCGAGGAGCCGCCGCCGGCGUAGGCCGCCUUGCCCUCCCGGGAGGUUCGACUGGCAGAGACUGGGNAACCGUGUCUGCCGACCGCCUUUCGGUGACGGACGGGGUGGGCCCGCCGGCACAGGGUCAGUGGCGAAUCGGUCGGCCCUCCACCCGACCCGUCUUGAA